GUUAGGGUGAUUUCCAGGAAGUGACCUCACAGUGACUCAAGCUACCACUUACUGUUGAUUGUGAUGAAAUGCCAGCUGAGGCACAUGCCUUGGGGGCUAAGUGGUUGCUGCCCUUGACUACUAUGAAGACUGGUGUGGGAAGGGUCGCUUUCGAUGCACUUGAGCGGGGGUCCCCAACCCCUGAGCCAUGGAGCCGUAAGGAGCCACACAGCAGGUGAGUGGUGUCGAGUGAGGGAGUGAGGGAAGCUUCGUCUGUAUUUACAGCCACUCCCCUUUGCUCACAUUCCCGCCUGAGCUCCACCUUCUCAGAUGAGCAGCAGCAUUAGAUUCUCAUAGGAGAACGCACCCUGUUGUGAACCGUGCAUGUGAGGGAUCUAGGUUGCGCUGUUCUUAUGAGAAUCUAAUACCUAUUGAUCUGUCACUUUCUCCCAUCACGCUCAGGUGGGACCAUCCAGUUUCAGGAAAACAAGCUUAACACGCCCACUGAUUCUACAUUAUGCUCCUACCUCCCGGCAGCCUCGCCAGGCCCAGAACUCUCUCCAGUCAGCCUCUACAGACCAAGCUCAUGACUCACAAUGGCCUAUUUAGGCCCAUACCCUACCUCACGGCAGUCUCCGCAGAUGAGCCUACUGCCUCACAACAGCCUCCACAGGCACAGCUCCAUCGUUACAAUGGCCUCUUUAGACCCAGCUCCUGCCUCCCAGCCUUCUCUCCAGGCCCUGAACUUUCUCCGUGGGACCAUCCAGUUUCAGGAAAACAAGCUUAACACGCCCACUGAUUCUACAUUAUGCUCCUACCUCCCGGCAGCCUCGCCAGGCCCAGAACUCUCUCCAGUCAGCCUCUACAGACCAAGCUCAUGACUCACAAUGGCCUAUUUAGGCCCAUACCCUACCUCACGGCAGUCUCCGCAGAUGAGCCUACUGCCUCACAACAGCCUCCACAGGCACAGCUCCAUCGUUACAAUGGCCUCUUUAGACCCAGCUCCUGCCUCCCAGCCUUCUCUCCAGGCCCUGAACUUUCUCCGUGGGACCAUCCAGUUUCAGGAAAACAAGCUUAACACGCCCACUGAUUCUACAUUAUGCUCCUACCUCCCGGCAGCCUCGCCAGGCCCAGAACUCUCUCCAGUCAGCCUCUACAGACCAAGCUCAUGACUCACAAUGGCCUAUUUAGGCCCAUACCCUACCUCACGGCAGUCUCCGCAGAUGAGCCUACUGCCUCACAACAGCCUCCACAGGCACAGCUCCAUCGUUACAAUGGCCUCUUUAGACCCAGCUCCUGCCUCCCAGCCUUCUCUCCAGGCCCUGAACUUUCUCCGUGGGACCAUCCAGUUUCAGGAAAACAAGCUUAACACGCCCACUGAUUCUACAUUAUGCUCCUACCUCCCGGCAGCCUCGCCAGGCCCAGAACUCUCUCCAGUCAGCCUCUACAGACCAAGCUCAUGACUCACAAUGGCCUAUUUAGGCCCAUACCCUACCUCACGGCAGUCUCCGCAGAUGAGCCUACUGCCUCACAACAGCCUCCACAGGCACAGCUCCAUCGUUACAAUGGCCUCUUUAGACCCAGCUCCUGCCGCCCAGCCUUCUCUCCAGGCCCUGAACUUUCUCCGUGGGACCAUCCAGUUUCAGGAAAACAAGCUUAACACGCCCACUGAUUCUACAUUAUGCUCCUACCUCCCGGCAGCCUCGCCAGGCCCAGAACUCUCUCCAGUCAGCCUCUACAGACCAAGCUCAUGACUCACAAUGGCCUAUUGAGGCCCAUACCCUACCUCACGGCAGUCUCCGCAGAUGAGCCUACUGCCUCACAACAGCCUCCACAGGCACAGCUCCAUCGUUACAAUGGCCUCUUUAGACCCAGCUCCUGCCUCCCAGCCUUCUCUCCAGGCCCUGAACUUUCUCCGUGGGACCAUCCAGUUUCAGGAAAACAAGCUUAACACGCCCACUGAUUCUACAUUAUGCUCCUACCUCCCGGCAGCCUCGCCAGGCCCAGAACUCUCUCCAGUCAGCCUCUACAGACCAAGCUCAUGACUCACAAUGGCCUAUUUAGGCCCAUACCCUACCUCACGGCAGUCUCCGCAGAUGAGCCUACUGCCUCACAACAGCCUCCACAGGCACAGCUCCAUCGUUACAAUGGCCUCUUUAGACCCAGCUCCUGCCUCCCAGCCUUCUCUCCAGGCCCUGAACUUUCUCCACAUGGGGUCUCACUUUGUUGGCCAGGCUGGUGUCAAACUAAUGGCCUCAAGUGACCCUUCCACCCCUGCCUCCCAUCCUCGAGGUAUGUGCCACCACAAGGGGCACUUGUUCAAUUUUCUAAAGAAAAAAUUUCUAAAGUAAGGCUGUGGGAUGAUGGCAGGAAGAUAAAAGAAAAACAGAAGAAUAAGUUAAAAUGACUUAUUCACACAUAUUCUUUUGACAGCAAGAAGAACUUUUAGUAUAUACAUUCCUUACAAACAAACAAACGGCAGAUAAACAA
Gorilla gorilla gorilla (western lowland gorilla) is the source of this 2469-nucleotide long non-coding RNA. RefSeq lists it as uncharacterized. The record is from RefSeq and is a predicted model, not a curated record. NCBI's taxonomy places the organism in Eukaryota, Metazoa, Chordata, Mammalia, Primates, Hominidae. The transcript is spliced from 13 exons.